This 253-nucleotide ribosomal RNA is filed under the name uncultured bacterium. RNAcentral's name for it is "partial 16S ribosomal RNA". It matches the Rfam family "Bacterial small subunit ribosomal RNA", at positions 524 to 776 of the family's 1533-position model. The record is from RNAcentral.
UACGUAGGGUCCGAGCGUUGUCCGGAAUUAUUGGGCGUAAAGAGCUCGUAGGCGGUUUGUCGCGUCUGCUGUGAAAUCCCGAGGCUCAACCUCGGGUCUGCAGUGGGUACGGGCAGACUGGAGUGCGGUAGGGGAGAAUGGAAUUCCUGGUGUAGCGGUGGAAUGCGCAGAUAUCAGGAGGAACACCGAUGGCGAAGGCAGUUCUCUGGGCCGUAACUGACGCUGAGGAGCGAAAGAGUGGGGAGCGAGCAGG